Echinops telfairi (small Madagascar hedgehog) is the source of this 629-nucleotide long non-coding RNA. RefSeq lists it as uncharacterized. The record is from RefSeq and is a predicted model, not a curated record. NCBI's taxonomy places the organism in Eukaryota, Metazoa, Chordata, Mammalia, Afrosoricida, Tenrecidae. The transcript has 3 exons.
AGGAGCUGCCAGAGGUUCAGGAAUGAGGGCUGAAAGCGAAUUGAAAGCUCUGCAUGUAAAGGUAUGAUGUCCUUCUGGAAAGAUCCUUCCUGAGAGCACGAGCCAAGGUGGUGAGAAGAAGCCUGGACCUUCUGGACCUUCUGGCUGUACUUUUCCCAAGACACAUUUGGUCAUUCUGCGUCUGAUCCAUGCUCAUUGUCAACACCGUAAUUCAGGUGCAUGGUCUUUCUUGUUCAUCGUCCAGCCACCACAUGCAGGUAAGACCAUUGAAAUGCCAUGACUCGAGUCAAGGGCCCUGCAGUCCCCAAAGUGACACCUUUGCUCUUUGCUAACACUCUUAAAAAGGUCUUUUGAAGCAGAUUUUCCAAAUGCAAUGUACCCAUUUGAUUUAUUGAUGGGUGUUGAUAAUGGAUCCAAGUAUAACAAAAAGUAAGUAUUUUUUAUUCAUCAUGAUGUUGCUUAUUGGUCCAGUUGUAUAUAUUUUAUUAUUUCAUGUUUCCGUAUAACGCAUCCUGAAGGCCUUUGGUCUUCAUCAAUACGUGUUUCUAGUCUUCUCUCUUAGCCAGCAAGUUUCUAUCAUCUGCCUAUCGCACGUUCUUAACGGAUGUUCCUCUAAUCCUGACGCUGUG